Non-coding RNA from Cinara cedri, 236 nucleotides. The record is from the annotation of a GenBank genome assembly. Lineage: Eukaryota; Metazoa; Arthropoda; Insecta; Hemiptera; Aphididae.
AUUAUACCAGCCAAAAAUGCGUGCAAAGCGAGAUAAAUCGAUCUAACCAUAGGCGGUACUAGAGUUCUAGACCCUCUUGGCAGGCGCGGGGGCAGACAAUAUUACGGACAUACUUCACACGAUGGAUGGACCACUGUUGUAGGUGUGAAGUUGGAAACGUAGAGGGGAAAUUUUAUGUAUAUAUGUACACAAUGAUUAACCAAUGCAAACGAAAGACGAUUCUGUGCGGAGUUUGG